GCAAAGAUAGCUUAAAGUAAAAGCAAAGCACUGAAAACGCUUAAAUAAAGGUUCAAAUCCUUUUCUUAGCA
RNAcentral lists this transfer RNA (71 nucleotides) under Anthenea aspera. RNAcentral describes it as "tRNA-Phe". It matches the Rfam family "tRNA". From Rfam's summary of the family: Transfer RNA (tRNA) molecules are approximately 80 nucleotides in length. Their secondary structure includes four short double-helical elements and three loops (D, anti-codon, and T loops). The record is from RNAcentral. Lineage: Eukaryota; Metazoa; Echinodermata; Asteroidea; Valvatida; Oreasteridae.